This is a long non-coding RNA of Haplochromis burtoni (Burton's mouthbrooder), 2863 nucleotides long. RefSeq lists it as uncharacterized. The transcript has 2 exons. NCBI's taxonomy places the organism in Eukaryota, Metazoa, Chordata, Actinopteri, Cichliformes, Cichlidae. The record is from RefSeq and is a predicted model, not a curated record.
CUGAAGUGUGACACGGCUUAUUUCUCACACUGUCUCGUGCAUAAAAAAUGACAACAACACGGGACAACAAGUGCUUCACCGGGUCUACCAGGCACAUUGAAAUAAACUUGCAAAAUGGCUGAGAGCACGCAGUGAGGACGAAUGUCCGAAAUGAAAAUGAUUCCCGUGACAUGUUUGCUGUAUCUCUGCAAACAGUCCGAGAUUCUAGCUGUGUUCAGAGUGCACGGUCAGUGGAGAGGGGCAUAUCGUGUGAUUACAGUGUGUUGCUCUGAGAUCUGUCCGCAGACCACAUAGGCAACCUUUAAGCCAUGGAUCAAAUCCAGCCCUUCGGGGUAUAGAGUAUGCCUAGUUGUGAAUGUGACAGAAGGGGGCGCCUCCCUGCUUGCACGCACGCGCGUGUGCGCUCCAGUGUUUGUCAAGACUGUGUCAUCUGCGCUUGUAGGCAAAUGUUCGGAUUUUCACGUAUAAUUGUGAGGUGUUUGUGUAUGUAUGCAUGCGGGUUCGCUCCUUGCCCGCUUGUGCGUAAAAGCGUGCAUCUACCAACGUAACUUACGCGUGUGUGCGUGCGCCGCUGGCCGAGGGAGAGAGGUGAUUGUGAAAAAGCCCCGAUCGCUGUGUAAGCGGAUCCCUUUGUGUUGAUUUAGGAAGACGUUUGCUGUAUAUAACGUUCAAGGCUGAUAAUAUCAUUGCCUGGCCAGAUAAAUAAAGCAUUGGCCAAAACCAUCGGGUCAGCUAUCGAUCCGCUUUUUCUCCCUGAGAGAGUGGGGGGUGGUGGGUUGAGGAAAAAGAAGGAGAGAAAGGGAGAGAGAAAGGGAGAGAGACCUCACUCAUUAGCAUUCCACAGCCAUGGACUAAACGCUGACAACUAACAGAGAUAUCCAGCUCUACACCACUGCAUACAUUUCCCCCCUUUGUCUUCUUCCCCUGGCCCUUCAUUUCCAGCGGACAGAUCUCUCGUCACAGCCAACACAUUUUUAUUUAUGCCCUCUCCACUCCUUUUGCACGAAUGGACCCCUUGCACAAGAGAGAAAACCUUCUAGUAAAGCAGAGAAUAAAAGAGGGGGGGUGAUGUUGUAAAAGCUGUGCAGAAGUGACAGCGCUAAGCACACUGGCUUUACUUGAGAGAGAUACAAUUGUGUGUGACUUGACAAAAUAGAAGUGGGAGACGUUUUAAAUUGCAACUUUAACUGCCACGAUUUAGGUAUUUUAGGAUUUUAUUUAUUUAUUUAUUUAAAAUCUAGACACUACGUGCUUUACUGUGAUAUUAUUAUUUUUUAUUUCCAUUCCGAUUUUAGCUGGAUGUUUCUCCAUAAUGAUUUAGAUGUUUGGGUUUAAUGUGGGACCACUUUUUUCAGCCUUAAAACGUCUGUAAAACAGUUUUCUGUGAAGGUUGUUAUUUACGACUGCUCCAUGAUGUGUGGAUAAAAUUAACAUGAAGGAAGAGAAACAAAUGAAAAAUAGGCGAAGGUUGAAAAGUUGUGCUGGUUUUUAAUUAUAGUAUAGAAAUAAUUUACAAAUAGCUUGGGUUUAAGUUUGACAGAAAUUACAUGUAUUUAUUAACGAGUAAAUUCAAACCAAAUAUUUCACAUUCAAAAGGUAAUAUGGAAACUGUCAUUGAAACAAUUUGGACAAGUGGGCUUUUUUUUCUUUUUUUCUUUUUUUCACUCCCCAAAUGGCUAUAUCUUAAUAUGGGCUCAAGUCUUGCCCAACAAUGACAGCUGUUCAUCUGAUAGUAACUUCUUUCCAAGUUUUCUCCCCACCCACCCCGGGGCCCCCGGUCUCUGUCUUGCUUUGUUGUUUUAAAAUAUGCAUGUCUCUCCGGAAUGCCAGUCACGGGUCCAAACUUUGUGUGUCCCAACCUCCCACAUGAUGAAAUGAUCCUUUUAAAGCGGGCUCAAUAUGUCUCAAUCUGCACUCCUCUUCCUUCUCUAAAGCUUCUGGGUUCGGGACACAGCCCAGAAAUAUAUUAAUUAAAGCGCACUACUACGGACUUUUUUUAGCACUGAGGAAGAAGUGGUUGGAUCAAGUCAAGCUCUGUCAACGACGGAUGGAUGAAGAUUCAUGGCAGAAAAAGCAAAAGAAGAAAAAAGCGAUCAAUGCCGCAGCACUUUCCAGUUCAUCUUGAACUAGCGGUGAACUCCAGAAUGCCGCCAGCGUCUCCACCCUAUCCCAUCGCAGUUCAGGGUCACCAGGGGGGUGUCUCUGUGCCGAUAUGCAAAUAAGCCCGUGGCCCUUCAGUGACUCUGGCGUUAAGCUCCACCCCUUCUAUAUGGUAGAAGCUUUGAAAUAAAAUCCUCUCCCCCAGACAACCUUCGCACACACACACAGAUAUAAACCCACUCUCAUGUAGACUUAAACAGGCCUUUAAAACUUCCAUCCAUUCCUCCUUUAAUAGCCAAAGCGUGUUGAACCUAAUGGAUGUUGUCAUAGCUGAGAUGUGACCACUGAUUUAGAGGAGGAACCCCAGUGACCAGGCGAAGAGAGGCAGAGAUGAGAGGGAGAAGAAGAAGACAAGCGAGAGUUAUGUCAGCUACACCACAAAUCAAAGUAAUAUCUUUUAAAAAUUGUGGAAAUCGAUGGUGUCAUCUGGCUGUAUCUUGUGGGUAAAGGAAACCCAUAAACAGCCAAUUAGCUGAUAAGCAGACUGUUUUUUUUCCUUUAUGAAGAAGUGAUUUUAUGUAUUGGCAAAACAGCGUACAAUGGACAAAGAGCUCACCCUUUUUAACUGUAACGUGUAUCCUGUAUUUAAACUAAAGUACACUGUGUAGCUGUUUCGUACUUGCGAAACAAUUAAGUUGCAUGUACAGAUUUUAACAAGUUUACAGUAAUGACAUUAGCCUAAUAAAGUUUGUUUUAAAUGCAA